AUAAAACAAUGGGAUAGGAAAGCAGGCCAUAUUUUUCAUAUUGAAAUUCACAACCACACUUUCAUUAACAGCACAACUCAUAGUAUAUUUACAAUACUAUUUACAGCAUAAAAGUCUCACACCUAUCUACACUAAAGCAGGGUUCACAAAAGGGAUGGGAUCUCAAUCCACAUCUGGGUUAUAUUCAAGAUCCCUCUCUGGAUCUUCUUCUUCUUCAAAAGUCUUUCUCCCCUUCAGGUUCCUCUUCCUUAGCUUCUCCUCAGGGUCCUGAAAUGGUUAUUCAAUAACCAAUGAGACCACGUCUCAGCGAGUCCUACCCCCUACGACUCGAUUAGUAAACUAAUACACCAUACGGUUGCCUAAGCACAACACGAGUCAGAGGACUUACCUUGGCCUCAGUUCCAACCUGCAAUUCAAGGUUAAACACAGAUAUUCAAACAAUUCACGACAUUCGAUCAAGCACUGGUCAAUCGACUAAGUCGAUUACAUGUUAGCCAGACCCUUUCUAGGUCAUUCCCACUCAUACCACGAUUUCCCAGUGGUGUACUCAUUCACCAAAUCACAUGUGUUUCUUGGGCGUCGUUUUCGCCAAUGACAUACCGAUCACCGACACCGUGCGUUCUUUAAGGCGCCGUUUUCACCAGUGAUAACCUCGAUCACCGAACCACGUGUCCUUUCUAGGGCGCCGUUUUCGCCAAGGUGACAUCAGCUAUAGACAACAUCGUGAGUUCUUUAAGGCGUCGUUUUCACCAGUGAUAUUCCCAUAACCACCGAACCACGUUUGUCUAUAAGUCAUUUACGUGCGUUCUUUAAGGCGCCGUUUUCGCCAGUGAUACUCCCAAUCACCGAACCACGUAUGUCCAAUAAUAUCGUACCUGAUUGGUCUCAACCAAUAAUGUUCUCAGUUAGCUCUCACCAUUCUCCCUACUAUAUAGCCCAUCAACGUACUGGCGCUAUAUAUCCAUACUUAGCCAUCCAUCAAUCAAAUAUUCAAUAACAAACAAUUUAGGACAAAUCUUCAAAUUUCACAAUUAAUUCAAUUCCACACAACGUAGAGCUCAAAUAAAUAAACGGGCUACACCACGACAAUCAGCACGAAAUUCCGGUCACCGACCAUCCCGGUUGAAUUUCCGGAAAAAUAAUUAAUUAAAUAAAUAAAUUUCGAAAAUAAAUAAAUAAACAUUAAAAAUCCAAUUUAGGCCCAUAUUGCCUUAUUGGAGCCCGAAACGGGUCGGGAAAAAUCCCGAGAUGCAUUCAAUAAAUAACCAAACAUUUCUACUUGCUAAUAGCUAGGUCUAACCACCUAACAUGCAUCAUUAAGUCACUAAAUUAAUUGUUCUAACCUAAUCUAACAACCUAAGUGCAUGUAAUUAAAUCUAACCAACCCUAAGGCAUAAUUAGCAAACUAAUAAAGCAUUAGUGAGUAAAACUCACUUGAUUAAAAACGGGGAUCGAAUCACCGCAACGGCGACGCGACGGCGGCCGAAAUCGGACUUUCAACGACACCAGCGGACUUGGACCGGGCCUUAAGCUUAGGCCCAACAAAUCUCAGCCCAAUUGAGAUUUGUUCUUGCACUGGAAUGGGCUGGAUCUGCUGAAUUUCUGGACUGAACUAACUGCGCUAGCUGAACUGGGCUUGCUGGUCUUGUGCUGAAUUCGGUGGCCCAAAGGACUGAAGCUCACGGGCUGGGCUUGCUGCAGGGCUUGUCUUCAGCUAGUUUGUUGGACUGAAGAUCACAUGGGCUGCUGAGCUGGGCCUGGCAAGAGAAAGACGUGGGCCUAUCUUCGGUCUUCGUGGCUUCAAUUCAAGACUCCGUGGGCUUCGCUGGGCCAACGAACAGGCAGAAGAAGCAGCUUCGGCGUCCUGAUUCGUGGAGAUGGGCAAGCUGAAGGAAUCCGCACGGCUGAAGACUGAGCAGACGUGAGAGAUGUGCUGGCCGAGAGAAGCAAGGAGGGUUGCGUGGCGUCUGCUGGCUUUGGUCUUCAGUUGCUCCGUGGGAUUUCGGGGCUGCUUCAGUCAACAGAAGAGAAGAAGCUGCUGGUUCCGUUGACUCCGUUGAAGACAAGCCGAAGUAGAGAAUUCUUCGUGGGACUGCUGGUCGUGUGGUAUUCGGUCAGUUGACCGGUUGAUGCUGCCUUCGGUGAACUGAUUUGAAGGCACGAAGGAAGACCGAAGAUGAGUGGUCUUCUCUAGGGUCUUCAAGUCGCUGAAGUCCUCGGACGUGCGGCUUCUUCAGUGGAAGGAGAUGUUGACCAGCAAAUUGAAGACACGAAGAAGCUUGUAGUCUUCGGUUG
Molecule: long non-coding RNA, 2295 nt
Filed under: Eucalyptus grandis
Lineage: Eukaryota; Viridiplantae; Streptophyta; Magnoliopsida; Myrtales; Myrtaceae
Description: long non-coding RNA (EGRA_LNC004861)
Source: RNAcentral